GUUAGUCUAUAAUCUUGAACAGUAAUAUCUAAAAUAAUGAAAUUUCCAUUGUUAUCUAUAAUUUCAUUAUUUAUUUUAAAUUCAAAGGAAUUCUUAAACAAGACUGCUACUCCUCUGCUCCUGUUUGAAUAGCUACUAAAUUUACCUGUAUAUCCCCAUUCUUGAAGCCAUUUAUUUUCAUUUUCUAAACAACAGUGAGUAUCAACCAACACUGCAAUAUCAUAACGUUUCUUACAAAUUGAAAAAAUAUCUAAUCUUUUUUACCUUAUUUGCUAAUCCCCUACAGUUUACGGAACCUACAACUAUGGAUGCCAUUGAUAUACAUACACAAAUUUUGUCAAUAAAGUAAUAUCCACAUAUAUUACACUCUUAUAUUUGUUGCUGUCUGUCUCAAGUGAUUUAUAUAACUUACAUGUUUUGCAUACUGUACACCAAGAUUCAUAUCUUGUGCUGUCCUUAAUAAUUUUGGUUGUGUGUGGGUACCCCCUUGAUGAAGCCUUGUAAUCUAAAUGCAUUCUGCCAAUAUGAGUUAUCUGCUCUUUUAAAAUAAGAUCCAAAUUAAAAUACCAAA
RNAcentral lists this long non-coding RNA (571 nucleotides) under Mytilus galloprovincialis (Mediterranean mussel). Lineage: Eukaryota; Metazoa; Mollusca; Bivalvia; Mytilida; Mytilidae. The record is from RNAcentral.